Oncorhynchus gorbuscha (pink salmon) is the source of this 957-nucleotide long non-coding RNA. RefSeq lists it as uncharacterized. The transcript has 4 exons. The record is from RefSeq and is a predicted model, not a curated record. NCBI's taxonomy places the organism in Eukaryota, Metazoa, Chordata, Actinopteri, Salmoniformes, Salmonidae.
UUCAAUUAAGUGCUCAACACACUCAAGUCAGUACCGCUGUGCUGUAAAUGAAUGUGAAUAGGAAAUCUAACAUCCCUGCAUUUUAACAAAUGAAUAGAUUGAGGAAAGCAAUCUAUUUAAUCGACCACUUUGAACAUAUAUUGUCAGUGAGUGGAGUGGUGGAUGAUACAGAGAAAUGCCACUCCAGGUGACGUUGGAAUGACUGAAACGCCAAGGUCACAUAGGCCAGACUACCCAAAAGAUCAAAGGUUAAGGGGCGGUGAGAUGUCACAGAUAUAAACAACAAGAGGAUCUAUGGAUAACUGUUCUUCAUGUCCCCUAACACAUGUCUGCUGCACUGCUUUAAGACACCGACGAGCUGAAGGAAGCUUUGAACAUAUAGUGCUUCACUUGCAGAGCAAUGCUUCCAGCUGGGACAGUGUUUAUUGGAGAUCGCCUUUCCUGGUGGAGUGGUACAAUGGAACAAGAGAUGACUGGACCAAAGUGGCAGACUACAGUCCAGCUAUUAGGCUUCAUGUUGUCCUCACUCACUCCAGGAAAAAAAAGCAGCUUUUCAAAAAUAAUACAUUAUGAUUAAUAAGAACAUGAUAAAUACACAACAAUUUGUAACACAAUGCUAUUGUGUUGACAGAAUGUCCGAUUUCUUCUAGGUGUAAAUUGAUAAGGAGUUUGCUAGCAUAAAUGGUUGGUUUUGACACCCCCUCUCACCAUAGUCUCUACCUUAGAUGAGCUUGAUUUGUCUGCAUUGGAAUGAAAUAAAGGGAACGGAGGAAAACAUUCUCUGAACAUGAACACUCUAAGUCUUAUUGAUCCUGCUCUUAAGUAGUGCCUGAUAGGGCUUUGAACUGAGAAGACAGCAAGGUGAACUCCAUAAUACAUCUACUAUAGCUAGGAUACAUCUUUGUGUUUACUCUGCAAUGCUUAAAAGAUUUGUGGGCUAUUUUCAAUAACAUUUCU